Non-coding RNA from Triticum urartu, 126 nucleotides. NCBI's taxonomy places the organism in Eukaryota, Viridiplantae, Streptophyta, Magnoliopsida, Poales, Poaceae. The record is from Rfam.
CUAAUACUUCCUCCGUUCGAAAAAGCUUGUCCCUCAAAUGGAUGUAUCUAGCAUCAAGUUAGUGCUAAAUACAUCCAUUUGAGGGACAACCUUGGGACAAGCUUUUUCGGACGGAGGGAAUACCUU